GACGAACGCUGGCGGCGUGCUUAACACAUGCAAGUCGAACGAAGAGCGAUGGAAGCUUGCUUCUAUCAAUCUUAGUGGCGAACGGGUGAGUAACGCGUAAUCAACCUGCCCUUCAGAGGGGGACAACAGUUGGAAACGACUGCUAAUACCGCAUACGAUCUAAUCUCGGCAUCGAGGAUAGAUGAAAGGUGGCCUCUACAUGUAAGCUAUCACUGAAGGAGGGGAUUGCGUCUGAUUAGCUAGUUGGAGGGGUAACGGCCCACCAAGGCGAUGAUCAGUAGCCGGUCUGAGAGGAUGAACGGCCACAUUGGGACUGAGACACGGCCCAGACUCCUACGGGAGGCAGCAGUGGGGAAUCUUCCGCAAUGGACGAAAGUCUGACGGAGCAACGCCGCGUGAGUGAUGACGGCCUUCGGGUUGUAAAGCUCUGUUAAUCGGGACGAAAGGCCUUCUUGCGAAUAGUGAGA
RNAcentral lists this ribosomal RNA (467 nucleotides) under Veillonella parvula. RNAcentral describes it as "bacterial SSU rRNA". It matches the Rfam family "Bacterial small subunit ribosomal RNA", at positions 28 to 472 of the family's 1533-position model. Lineage: Bacteria; Bacillati; Bacillota; Negativicutes; Veillonellales; Veillonellaceae. The record is from RNAcentral.